This 484-nucleotide ribosomal RNA is filed under the name uncultured bacterium. RNAcentral's name for it is "partial 16S ribosomal RNA". It matches the Rfam family "Bacterial small subunit ribosomal RNA", at positions 30 to 507 of the family's 1533-position model. The record is from RNAcentral.
AUUGAACGCUGGCGGCAGGCCUAACACAUGCAAGUCGAGCGGAUGAAGGGAGCUUGCUCCUGGAUUCAGCGGCGGACGGGUGAGUAAUGCCUAGGAAUCUGCCUGGUAGUGGGGGAUAACGUCCGGAAACGGGCGCUAAUACCACAUACGUCCUGAGGGAGAAAGUGGGGGAUCUUCGGACCUCACGCUAUCAGAUGAGCCUAGGUCGGAUUAGCUAGUUGGUGGGGUAAAGGCCUACCAAGGCGACGAUCCGUAACUGGUCUGAGAGGAUGAUCAGUCACACUGGAACUGAGACACGGUCCAGACUCCUACGGGAGGCAGCAGUGGGGAAUAUUGGACAAUGGGCGAAAGCCUGAUCCAGCCAUGCCGCGUGUGUGAAGAAGGUCUUCGGAUUGUAAAGCACUUUAAGUUGGGAGGAAGGGCAGUAAGUUAAUACCUUGCGGUUUUGACGUUACCAACAGAAUAAGCACCGGCUAACUUCGUG